ACGCUCGACACCUACGGGGGCAGCGGUGGGGAAUAUUGCACAAUGGGGGAAACCCUGAUGCAGCGACGCCGCGUGAGUGAAGAAGUAUUUCGGUAUGUAAAGCUCUAUCAGCAGGGAAGAAGAUGACGGUACCUGAGUAAGAAGCCCCGGCUAACUACGUGCCAGCAGCCGCGGUAAUCUGAGCGGGCUGGCAAGGC
Molecule: ribosomal RNA, 197 nt
Filed under: uncultured bacterium
Lineage: Bacteria
Description: partial 16S ribosomal RNA
Rfam family: Bacterial small subunit ribosomal RNA
Source: RNAcentral